Molecule: long non-coding RNA, 1181 nt
Filed under: Homo sapiens (human)
Lineage: Eukaryota; Metazoa; Chordata; Mammalia; Primates; Hominidae
Description: HSALNT0156975
Source: RNAcentral
AAAAAAUAGCCGGGCGUGAUGGUGCACGCCUGUAGCCCCAGCUACCUGAGUGGCUGAGGUGGGAGAAUUGCUUGAGCCCAGGAGGUUGAGGCUGGAGUGAGCCAUGUCUCUGCCCCCGCCUCCUAAGCACCCGCCAGGACCAGUCACCACGGUUGCACUUCACACCCACAAACUCUAGAGGUCUGUGCUCACACUUGGUCCCAGCAACUGUGACCAUCUGGCCAAGGCCACCCAACCCUCCACCCAGGAUGCUCCAGGUGGCUGGAAGGUCCCCGCCCACCCUGCCACAGCCACAUUCUCCCAGCCCUACCGCCACCCUCCCCAGUGGGGCCUCCCACUUUUUUAGCUCUCGCCCCUUGGUCCCGGGACCAGGGCAACUGCGACCAUCUGCAACCUCUGCCCCUGGGCCGCCAUGUUUCCACCAUCCUUCCCUGCUUCCCUGCACACUUCUCCACCUGGCACCUCCCUAUGCUGUGCUCACCUGCCAGGGCCCUGCGCUUAGGUCCUUCUAGGUUCCCUCCAACUACCCCCAUUCUGCAGCUAGCUGGGCCUAAGGGAAGUUGCUCCCCAGGGUGGGGCGUCACUGCUGGCGGAGAAACCUGGGGAUGACCUGGGCCACUGGCUCACUCUCCUGAACCACAUCUGCACAACAUGCCCGUUAAAAAAAAAAAAGCUGCUGCCAUCCCAGCAAUUUGGGAGGCCAAGGCGGGCGGAUCAUGAGGUCAGGAGUUCAAGACCAGCCUGACCAACAUGGUGAAAUCCUGUCUCUACUAAAAAUACAACAUUUAGCCGGGCAUGGUGGCACGCAACUGUCAUCCCAGCUACUCAGCUGAGGCAGGAGGAUCACUUGAGCCCGGGAAUCUGAGACCAGCCUGGGCAACAUGGCAAAACCCCAUCUCUACAAACAAUACAAAAAUUAGCCCAGAAUGGUGGUAUGCACCUGUAGCCUAAGCUACUAGGGAGGCUGAGGUGAGAGGAUCACCUAAGCCUGGGGAGGUCAAGGCUGCAGUGAGCUCUGGUUGCAGUGUGUGCACCACUGCACUCCAGCCUGGGCAACAGAGCAAGACCCUGUCUCAAAAAUAAAAAAAUACGCUAAAUAAACUUUACAAUACAAAAGCGGUGGAUUAAAAUUUCCAUUACCGGCAUGAGCCACGGCACCCGGCUGUAAUGGACGUUUUCUA